This is a long non-coding RNA of Oxyura jamaicensis (ruddy duck), 2167 nucleotides long. RefSeq lists it as uncharacterized. The record is from RefSeq and is a predicted model, not a curated record. Lineage: Eukaryota; Metazoa; Chordata; Aves; Anseriformes; Anatidae. The transcript has 5 exons.
CAGGGAAAAUUAGCCAGAUGAAAAACUCAAAAUCCAAAAAACAUUUUUCUUUAAAAGGGAGGAAAUGUAAGAGGUUUGAGUAUUUUUACAUUUUCACUCUUAUUUUAUUAAAAUUAUUGUGAGUGAAAUUUUCAAAAAGUGUGCUUUUGGAUGGAAAAGAAUGAUAGCAAAUGUCUCAUAUUUUUUCUUAUUUUUUUCUUUUUUUUUCUGAAGGGUAUGUGCCUAUGAAAUUAGAAUUUUGUAGUAGAAAUAGCAGUGAAAGCAAUAAAGAAAAAUAUAAAAAUAUGAUGUUGCUUACAACCACUCUUCUGUACUUAGAUUAUGUAUAGUUUUGCCCUGAAGUAAUUCUGGCUAUUAUUUUUCACCCAUUUUUUUCCAACCAUAAUAUAGAAAUAGAUAUAGCAGACAGUAUGUCCUUCUGUUUAACGGGACAGGGUAUUCUCUUAAAUGAAUCACACUAUUGUCCUUUUGGAUGGCUUUUCUGAGGUCUCCUUCCGAUUUUUAAUGAAAGUGAAAUUUUUACAUCCCCUAAUAUCUAAUACUUGCUCUCAGAUUCCACGCUUAACACGCACAGGCCCCGAUCCUGUACAGGCUGAAAUGCAUUUCGUUACGUGUAAGCACACUGAGUGGCUCUGUUCCUUCUUGUGCUCUUGUGUUUCAGACUUAAGCUGAUAGUUGUAUUACACAAUCAUUAUUCUCAGUAUUACUUAGGACUGCACAAAACAUAAACCUAAUGCAACAGGCUCGAUUUACAUCUUCCACUUGCAUCUCUGGGACGUGAGUUAAAUCCUGCACAAUUAUAAUAAUCUGGGGGUCGGGACGGUUAAGUAUUUAACUUAGUAUCAGGAGAAGCAAGAAAGGCAGUCGCUCUAGUCUAAUAAUCCAUGCAGUACGAGGUGGGUAUUGCAUUCUCUGGCUGUAGCAUCUGGGAGAGGAUCAGCAGUGUUUCCUCAGUGACUAGUGAAGCCAAAAAGUCACAGCAGGAACACAGCUGAGGACAGAAGGGAGAGGAAAGGGAUUUUGAACCUCACCAAAAUGAUGUCAAUUCUUUAGGUCAGAUUUCCAUUCCAGAUAACUUGGGCUCAUCAGAAGGGUGGAAGUCUGAUCGGCUGUGGUAGCAGAUACGAGCAGAGCAGUUGCCAAGUGAUCUUCUCCGCAGCACCCACAGACUUCAGCCUUGAACUGAAGAGGACUCAUCAAAUGCCUUGGGAGAUACAGAAUGGAACUGGAAGAGAAGCAGGGGUCUACAUGAAGGACAGUCCACUGGAGUCUUGGUGUGUGGAGGAACGGGUCCUGUUCUCGCUGUUGUUACUCCCACAUAGGUGGACUCUGUAACUGAUUAUGUGUGGGUAGGGCCCUAAUUGAAAUUAAGGAGAUUCUGCAGUAGUGCAGGGUUCUGUUUGUGAAAGUUCAGUUGCAAGAUCAGGACCCUACUGUGACUUCUUACUGUGAAUUCUGUCACUGUAUCAUUGCUUGUGCUGGAACCUGCCUUUUGGGAUAAUGUAAGUCCUGCUUUUCCCCCAAAUGUACUUUAGACAUGAAAUAAUCAUAAAAACGUUCCUAAUUAGAAAAUAAAUAUCAUUUACAUGCAUUCUUUUAAUUAUGUUUUUUUGGCAGUACCAAAUAAUAUAUUCCUCAAAACUUCUUAAUGGCACUGAGGCUUUGUGGAUAGUUGGUCACAUGAUGAGAAAAUUCAGCUGCCCAUCAAGACUACUUCUACCUGAUACCUCUCCUUCAGUAUCAAGAGAUUGACUCUGAUUUUGAUCAACAUAUGAUACCAGCUUCCAUCAGUCGCUUGUUAAAUUUUCACACCACACUGGAUAUUUUCUCCUCAGCUGCCUCUCAUGUGUUGGUUGACUCCUUCAUAAACAGAAGUGUUUGCUCUCUUCCUUUAAGUAUCUUCUUAAAAGUUUUAUGCACUGUGAAGCUUAAAGCAAUCCAACCAGAAAGUAGUUAUCCUGUGCAGGUAUACUAAUGCCAACACUCAUCACAGUACUACUUUGUCAUUGCCUUUGUACUUUGCAAUAAUCUCUGUUGUCUCUUAACGUAGAAAUCAAGCACACUCUUUUUGUUGUAUGCAAUUCAUGGCCCAGCAUAAUGAGAAGUGGAUCCAGGGUGAGGCCUCCUAAGAUUUGUGGUAAUAGAAAUAAAUAAUAAUGAAUGCUCA